Molecule: ribosomal RNA, 254 nt
Filed under: uncultured bacterium
Lineage: Bacteria
Description: partial 16S ribosomal RNA
Rfam family: Bacterial small subunit ribosomal RNA
Source: RNAcentral
UACGUAGGGCGCAAGCGUUGUCCGGAAUUAUUGGGCGUAAAGAGCUUGUAGGCGGUCUGUCACGUCUGCCGUGAAAACCCGAGGCUUAACCUCGUGGCUUGCGGUGGAUACGGGCAGACUAGAGGUAGGUAGGGGAGAACGGAAUUCCCGGUGUAGCGGUGAAAUGCGCAGAUAUCGGGAGGAACACCGGUGGCGAAGGCGGUUCUCUGGGCCGAUACUGACGCUGAGGAGCGAAAGCGUGGGGAGCGAACAGG